Molecule: ribosomal RNA, 181 nt
Filed under: uncultured bacterium
Lineage: Bacteria
Description: partial 16S ribosomal RNA
Rfam family: Bacterial small subunit ribosomal RNA
Source: RNAcentral
CGUGAAGUUGGAAUCGCUAGUAAUCGCGGAUCAGCAUGCCGCGGUGAAUACGUUCCCGGGCCUUGUACACACCGCCCGUCACACCAUGAGAGUCGGGAACACCCGAAGUCCGUAGCCUAACCGCAAGGGGGGCGCGGCCGAAGGUGGGUUCGAUAAUUGGGUGAAGUCGUAACAAGGUAAC